Molecule: ribosomal RNA, 497 nt
Filed under: uncultured bacterium
Lineage: Bacteria
Description: partial 16S ribosomal RNA
Rfam family: Bacterial small subunit ribosomal RNA
Source: RNAcentral
GAUGAACGCUGGCGGCGUGCCUAAUACAUGCAAGUCGAGCGAAGAGACGAGGAGCUUGCUCCACUGACGUUAGCGGCGGACGGGUGAGUAACACGUGGAUAACCUACCUAUAAGACUGGGAUAACUUCGGGAAACCGGAGCUAAUACCGGAUAAUAUAUUGAAACACAUGGUUCAAUAGUGAAAGACGGUUUUGCUGUCACCUAUAGAUGUAUCCGCGUCGAAUUAGCAAGUUGGUAAGGUAACGGCUAACCAAGGCAACGUACCGUAGCCGACCUGGGAGGGGGUCCGGCACAUCGGGACUGAGACACGGGCCCAGACCCCUACGGGAGGCAGAAGUGGGGAACUUUGGGAAAUGGGGGAAAGCUUGCCGGGGCAACGCGGGGGGGGUGAUGAAGGUCUUCGGAUCGUAAACCUUUGUUAUUGGGAAAGAACAAAUGUGUAAGUAACUAUGCACGUCUUGACGGUACCUAAUCAGAAAGCCACGGCUAACUACGUG